GCCUACUUCUUCGAUUGGAUUUCAAUGGAAUUCUUAGUGUUGGUCCAAGCAAGGAGGACAGCAGUACCUUCUUACACUGAUCUCUGCUGAUUCUGCCACGGAAGGAGGCUCCUGCUGCUUCACUCCAUUGAAUCCCAGCCGCCGCCAAGAGAGUCGCCACAUCGUUUGCUUUUUCUGGUGGCUCACAGCUGAAACACGUGCUGUCAGAAGAAAAGCUUGGUUCCCUCUUCCCACAUCCAGUCCAAUCACCACCAGCCGGCACAUAUUCUACUGGUUGUUUUGCCUUAAUGCAGCCUGCAAGUCCGACCCGUCAUAUAUUUAUCUGGAAGACAUAUUCCUUGCAUCAAGGAUGAAACAGAAGUGGUUGUUACUGGCAUGUUGUGCACUUGCGCUGAUGUUUAUGUUCGCAAGGCUAUACUCCAUGAUUCAUGAGGGAGUAACAGUGGAUUCGUUUCAACGGCUUGGGUCUGAUUUGGCAUCAAGAAGAAGGAGAUGGCAAAGAGCCAUCUAUUUCCAUAUGCUUGCAUGUGCAACUUCAGUUUUCUACUUUCGUGUUCAAGCCUGAAUAUAUAGACUAGGUCAUUCAUGUACUAUAUAUUACUAUGUCUACCAAAUUGGUAAGCGUAUUGGCUUAACCCAAAAUGGCAACAUGGUUCUUCUAUAUCAUACUGUCAAUGAGCUCCAACAUGAUUGACUCAUGAUGUCUCGGCAGUAUGUAUGCCUGAUGAGAUACGGUAUACCUUUUAUUGUUAACCGAUGCAGAU
Molecule: long non-coding RNA, 764 nt
Organism: Lolium rigidum
Lineage: Eukaryota; Viridiplantae; Streptophyta; Magnoliopsida; Poales; Poaceae
Exons: 4
Source: RefSeq, a predicted model, not a curated record